Long non-coding RNA from Conger conger (European conger), 3707 nucleotides. RefSeq lists it as uncharacterized. The transcript is spliced from 2 exons. The record is from RefSeq and is a predicted model, not a curated record. Lineage: Eukaryota; Metazoa; Chordata; Actinopteri; Anguilliformes; Congridae.
GUGGGAGAAAAAUAUAAUGUAACCUAGGAUAUAUGUAUCCAGAUAUGUACAAUGCAUAUAGUUAGAAAACUGCUUGAAAGAACAAGAUGUGCUUGUGACAGAUAACCAGCAAAAAUGUAAGGGAGGGGUGAGUGCUCUACCACAGCUUAUGUCAUAUAGGCCUACGUGCAGGAGAUAAAGCAGAACACUCUCCCAUUUUAUCAUAACAAGCUCAUGUGCCUAAGGAGGAAAGACGGAUGGUAAAUGUACGCUUUGUAGUUACUGUAGCAGUGUGUUAAUUGCAAAACAAAUGUUACAUGACUUAAAGGCCAGAUGUGGGCCCAGGAGUACAACGUGUGAUGAAAAAGUACUGUACUGUACUGUAUGAAGAUGAUUGGCUUUCACCGUAUUGUAUUCAUGUGAUAACUUAGGAUGUGUAAUGGUAUAAGAAUAGACACCCUGUCUGCUCAAAUCUAGUGUGUAUUCUCACAUUGGUGUCAUGCAUUCUCCGUGCUUUGUUUUGCGGCAGUAUUAAUGAAAUUCAUAUUAUUGUAGCUCUCCUUGCUGUGGAAGAACUGGGUUCUUUUAAACGGGAAAGGUUGCUUGCAAGAUGUCUCUCCAGGGAAUUUCCCCCACUGUAACUUGGCGUAGUCGGCAGGAUCUCUAACUCGUUUGAGAAAGUUUGUGAUAAAUUUACAGGACCCCUAAGAAUAAUGUGGAACCAACACGGACCACCAGCCGUGGAAGGUUUAAAAAAAAUUAUUUUGUUAAAAAAAAGGAGUUAAAAGGAUUUCAGUUAUGGGAACGAGAGGCGCGUGAAAGGCAGGAGAGACAACAAAGAAAUAAUGAUAAAAAAGGGGAGACUCAGCCUCCGUCGUAUUUUUCAGCUGGGGCGAGUGGGAAAAGCACACCCUGUGUAUAUCCCUCACUAACCAUGUUAAAACAUUCUGAGAUUGACACGGACCUGGACUGCCCGGUGCCCCGUCCACCUCCUCACGCACCUUCACCGCACCAGCCAGCCCCAGUCCCCAUAGUCAUGUUGUCCAUAAGGUCAGCGGUAAAAGCAGCACAACCAGCCAUACGAGAUGAACCUGGACACCAGCUGAGACCAGGAGACUGGGUGAACCUGGACACCAGCUGAGACCAGGAGACUGGGUGAACCUGGAUAUCAGCUGAGACCAGGAGACUGGGUGAACCUGGACACCAGCUGAGACCAGGAGACUGGGUGAACCUGGAUAUCAGCUGAGACCAGGAGACUGGGUGAACCUGGAUAUCAGCUGAGACCAGGAGACUGGGUGAACCUGGAUAUCAGCUGAGACCAGGAGACUGGGUGAACCUGGAUAUCAGCUGAGACCAGGAGACUGGGUGGUGGUGAAGGACUUCCAGAGGAAGAGGUGGUGCGAACCAAGGUGGCGUGGGCCGAUCCUGCUCACGACUCCAACCGCAGUCUGGGUGGCUGAACGAACACCUUGGAUUCACGCCAGUCAAUGCAAAUUGUAUUUUUCUGUGAACAUGUUAUCAUUUAUAUGAUAAAAGGAGGGAUUGUGGGAGAAAAAUAUAAUGUAACCUAGGAUAUAUAGUGCAUCCGGAAAGUAUUCACAGUGCUUCACUUUUCCCACAUUUUGUUAUGUUACAGCCUUAUUCCAAAAUGGAAUAAAUUCAUUUUUUUCCUCAAACUUCUACACACAACACCCCAUAAUGACAACAUGAAAUAAGUUUUUUUGAAAUCUUUGCAAAUUUAUUUUUAAAAAAACCCUAAGAAAUCACAUAUACAUAAGUAUUCACAGCCUUUGCCAUAAAGCUCAAAAUUGAGCUCAGGUGCAUCCUGUUUCCACUGAUCAACCUUGAGAUGUUUCUACAGCUUAAUUGGAGUCCACCUGCGGUAAAUUCAGUUGAUUGGACAUGAUUUGGAAAGGCACACACCUGUCUAUAUAAGGUCCCACAGUUGACAGUGCAUGUCGGAGCACAAACCAAGCAUGAAGUCAAAGGAAUUGUCUGUAGACCUCCGAGACAGGAUUGUCUCAAGGCACAAAUCUGGGGAAGGGUAGAGAAAAAUUUCUGCUGCUUUGAAGGUCCCAAUGAGCACAGUGGCCUCCAUCAUCCAUGAAUGGAAGAAGUUUGGAACCACCAGGACUCUUCCUAGAGCUGGCCGCCCGUCUAAACUGAGCAAUCGGGGGAGAAGGGCCUUAGUCAGGGAGGUGACCAAGAACCCGAUGGUCACUCUGUCAGAGCUCCAGCGUUCCUCUGUGGAGAGAGGAGAACCUUCCAGAAGGACAACCAUCUCUGCAGCAAUCCACCAAUCAGGCCUGUAUGGUAGAGUGGCCAGACGGAAGCCACUCCUUAGUAAAAGGCACAUGGCAGCCCGCCUGGAGUUUGCCAAAAGGCACCUGAAGGAUUCUCAGACCAUGAGAAACAAAAUUCUCUGGUCUGAUGAGACAAAGAUUGAACUCUUUGGUGCGAAUGCCAGGCGUCAUGUUUGGAGGAAACCAGGCACCGCUCAUCACCUGGCCAAUGCCAUCCCUACAGUGAAGUUUUUUCAGCAGCAGGAACUGGGAGACUAGUCAGGAUUGAGGGAAAGAUGAAUGCAGCAAUGUACAGAGACAUCCUGGAUGAAAACCUGCUCCAGAGCACUCUUGACCUCAGACUGGGGCGACGGUUCAUCUUUCAGCAGGACAACGACCCUAAGCACACAGCCAAGAUAUCAAAGGAGUGGCUUCAGGACAACUCUGUGAAUGUCCUUGAGUGGCCCAGCCAGAGCCCAGACUUGAAUCCGAUUGAACAUCUCUGGAGAGAUCUGAAAAUGGCUGUGCACCGACGCUCCCCAUCCAACCUGAUGGAGCCUGAGAGAUGCUGCAAAGAGGAAUGGGUGAAACUGCCCAAAGAUAGGUGUGCCAAGCUUGUGGCAUCAUAUUCAAAAAGACUUGAGGCUGUAAUUGCUGCCAAAGGUGCAUCAACAAAGUAUUGAGCAAAGGCUGUGAAUACUUAUGUACAUGUGAUUUCUUAGUUUUUUAUUUUUAAUAAAUUUGCUAAAAUUUCAAAAAAACUUCUUUCAUGUUGUCAUUAUGGGGUGUUGUGUGUAGAACUUUGAGGAAAAAAAUGAAUUUAUUCCAUUUUGGAAUAAGGCUGUAACAUAACAAAAUGUGGGAAAAGUGAAUACUUUCCGGAUGCACUGUAUGUAUCCAGAUAUGUACAAUGCAUAUAGUUAGAAAACUGCUUGAUGUGCUUGUGACAGAUAACCAGCAAAAAUGUAAGGGAGGGGUGAGUGCUCUACCACAGCUUACGUCAUAUAGGCCUACGUGCAGGAGAUAAAGCAGAACACUCUCCCAUUUUAUCAUAACAAGUUCAUGUGCUUGUUAUGAUAAAAAUGAUGAGGAGGAAUCGCACCCAAGGUCAGUUCCUCCUUAACCAGCCUAAGGAGGAAAGACGGAUGAUAAAUGUAAGCUUUGUAGUUGCUGUAGCAGUGUGUUAAUUGCAAAACAAAUGUUACAUGACUUAAAGAGCAGAUGUGGGCCCAGGAGUACAACGUGUGAUGAAAAAGUACUGAAACACUGUAUGAAGAUGAUUGGCUUUCACCGUAUUGUAUUCAUGUGAUAACUUAGGAUGUGUAAUGGUAUAAGAAUAGACACCCUGUCUGCUCAAAUCUAGUGUGUAUUCUCACAUUGGUGUGAUGCAUUCUCUGUGCUUUGUUUUGCUGCAGUAUUAAUAAAGUUUGUAUUAUUGUAGCUCUC